GCGGGAGUAGCUCAGUUGGUAGAGCACGACCUUGCCAAGGUCGGGGUCGCGAGUUCGAGUCUCGUUUUCCGCUCCA
This 76-nucleotide transfer RNA is filed under the name Candidatus Pseudomonas adelgestsugas. Its description in RNAcentral is "tRNA-Gly". It matches the Rfam family "tRNA". Rfam says of the family: Transfer RNA (tRNA) molecules are approximately 80 nucleotides in length. Their secondary structure includes four short double-helical elements and three loops (D, anti-codon, and T loops). Lineage: Bacteria; Pseudomonadati; Pseudomonadota; Gammaproteobacteria; Pseudomonadales; Pseudomonadaceae. The record is from RNAcentral.